Molecule: ribosomal RNA, 1525 nt
Filed under: Methanobacteriota archaeon
Lineage: Archaea; Methanobacteriati; Methanobacteriota
Description: bacterial SSU rRNA
Rfam family: Archaeal small subunit ribosomal RNA
Source: RNAcentral
AUCAAUUCCGGUUGAUCCUGCCGGCGGCCACCGCUAUUGGAAUUCGCUUAAGACAUGCGAGUCGAGAGGUGCAAGACCUCGGCACACUGCUCAGUAACACGCGGAUAACCUGCCCUUGGGUGGAGGAUAAUCUCGGGAAACUGAGGAUAAUACCCCAUAGGCCACGGAAGCUGGAAUGCUCCAUGGCUAAAAGUUGAGGCGCCCAAGGAUGGGUCUGCGGCCUAUCAGGUUGUAGUGGGUGUAACGGACCCACUAGCCUAUGACGGGUACGGGCGUUGGGAGACGUCGCCCGGAGAUGGGUUCUGAGACACGAACCCAGGCCCUACGGGGCGCAGCAGUCGCGAAAACUUGGCAAUGCGGGAAACCGCGACCAGGGAAUUCCAAGUGCUAAUGCUUUGCAUUAGCUGUUCCCCUGCCUAAAAAGCAGGAGAAGUAAGGGCUGGGUAAGACGGGUGCCAUUUGCGAACAGGGGUGAGCAAAUUAAGACUUGCCCCCGCAAGACACAAGCCGCCGCGGUAAUACCCGCAGCCCGAGUGGUGGUCAUUAUUAUUGAGCCUAAAGCGUCCGUAGCCGGGCUCGUAAAUCCUUGGGUAAAUCGGGCAGCUUAACUGUCCGAAUUCCGAGGAGACUGCGAGCCUUGGGACCGGGAGAGGUCAGAGGUACUCCAGGGGUAAGGGCUAAAUCUUGUAAUCCUUGGGGGACCACCAGUGGCGAAGGCGUCUGACUAGAACGGAUCCGACGGUAAGGGACGAAACCCUGGGGCGCAAACGGGAUUAGAUACCCCGGUAGUCCAGGGCGUAAACGCUGCAGGCUUGGUGUUGGGGGUCCUACGGGGGCGCCCAGUGCCGGAGAGAAGUUGUUAAGCCUGCCGCUUGGGGAGUACGGUCGCAAGACUGAAACUUAAAGGAAUUGGCGGGGGAGCACCGCAACGGGAGGAGCGUGCGGUUCAAUUGGAUUCAACGCCGGAAAACUCACCGGGGGCGACCUUUACAUGAAGGCCAGGCCAAUGACUUUGCCCGAUUUUAGGAGAGGUGGUGCAUGGCCGUCGUCAGUUCGUACCGUAGGGCGUUCUGUUAAGUCAGAUAACGAACGAGACCCUCACCCCUUAUUGCUAGCUUCCCCUCCGGGGGAGGUGCACAUUAGGGGGACCGCUGGUGCUAAAUCAGAGGAAGGAGAGGUCAACGGUAGGUCCGUAUGCCCCGAAUCCCCCGGGCUACACGCGCGCUACAAAGGACAGGACAAUGGGCUCCUAUGCCGAAAGGCAACGGCAACCCCGAAACCUGUUCGUAGUUCGGAUUGAGGGCUGUAACUCGCCCUCAUGAAGCUGGAUUCCGUAGUAAUCGCGGGUCAACAUCCCGCGGUGAAUAUGCCCCUGCUCCUUGCACACACCGCCCGUCAAACCACCCGAGUUGGGCCUGAGUGAGGUUGCCUUUCUUGAGGCGCUCGAACUCAGGUUCAGCAAGGAGGGUUAAGUCGUAACAAGGUAUCUGUAGGGGAACCUGCAGAUGGAUCACCUCCUAAGAAA